GAAUCCAAUCUCAUGUUGAUUCACAAGCUACUGCCUACUCCCAUUGGGAUGAACCUUACUUUGGUAAAGCAACCAUUACUUCAUCAAGAUCUAAUAGAGAUCCUAGGAAAAAUCAAGGAGAAUGGACAGAAAACUCUGUCCUGAAGACUCCACGACGACACCAUGGAACCCUGCUGAUGAAGAUCUUUCGAGGGCAAUCGUCAGUCACGGGGUGGUGUAAGAGCCCGUCUGAAGCCCCUCAUUUUCCAUUCUGCCUUCCGAUUGCCACGAGAAAGAAUCCCUUCCUCCACUGCAGUUCCGGCUUAGAACAGGACACAGUGCAGGUGCAACCACUGAACCGUCAUGCUAGCUGUUCCGAACAAGGCCUGGCAAGAACUUGGCAAGGACUUGGCAAAGACCUGACGUGGACCCAGCACGGGACAGCCUGAUGCGCGGCCUGCUUCUAAUCUCCGUUCUUAAGCCAAAUGAACUUUUGGGGUGACUCCCGGGGUCCUUCAUUGAAGACCCCUCAUCUGCCUCGUUACCACUGUGACAAACAAAGAAUGAGAACCCUCCUCCCAAGGACUGAGACUGAGACCCCUGCUAUAGGGAGGAGGGGAAAUUGGUGGUCUGACCACUAAUGACAUGACCUGUUUCCCUUCAGUGAUUCAAAUGGACUCAUUCUUCAUUGGAUUCGUCUUGCUUUGGUGGUUUCUGUGGACUCAGCUGUUCCCGCGUGGCGAUUACAAUGGACUUUCGUUGUUACACUUGCUCCCCCCUCUUUCCUCUGUGGACUAUAACUGGAGCCCCGAGUCGACCAGAACUUCGGAGACUCCCCCGACACGACAGACGGAUCCCCAUCGUCCGGACCACUGAGGAUCUCGCCUGUGUUGGUAGCUAUUCCCAUACCCCUCUUCUCUCUCUCUCUCUCCUUUUAUCUCCUUUCCGAUCCCCACUAUCGCAUUUACUGGUUUGGCCCCUAAUAAAGGUGCAUUUGUUGUGAUUAA
Molecule: long non-coding RNA, 986 nt
Organism: Vidua chalybeata
Lineage: Eukaryota; Metazoa; Chordata; Aves; Passeriformes; Viduidae
Exons: 2
Source: RefSeq, a predicted model, not a curated record